Molecule: small nuclear RNA, 166 nt
Organism: Bombina bombina (fire-bellied toad)
Lineage: Eukaryota; Metazoa; Chordata; Amphibia; Anura; Bombinatoridae
Product: U1 spliceosomal RNA
Exons: 1
Source: RefSeq, a predicted model, not a curated record
AUACUUACCUGGCAGGGAGUCUUAGCCAUGAUUACUAAGGUGACUCUCUUAGGGCAAGGCUGGUUCAUUGCACUAUGAGCUCGCUGACCUCUGCGAUUUCCCCACAUGUGGAAAACUCAACUGCACAAUUUAUGGUAGUGGGUGACUGCAUGCGCACUUUCCCCUA